GGUUGCGUUCGAACGCGCGGUCGGUUCGAUCGCUGCUUGCGCCCGCGAACUGCUCGAUUCACUGGAGACGUCUCAACCGCCUCGCGACCGC
This 91-nucleotide transfer RNA is filed under the name Rhizobium anhuiense. RNAcentral describes it as "tRNA-Ala". The record is from RNAcentral. Lineage: Bacteria; Pseudomonadati; Pseudomonadota; Alphaproteobacteria; Hyphomicrobiales; Rhizobiaceae.